GAACGCUGGCGGCGUGCUUAACACAUGCAAGUCGAACGGAGAUUAUACGCAGAGGCGAUUUCGGUCAAAUCAUGUGUAAUCUUAGUGGCGGUCGGGUGAGUAACGCGUGGGUAACCUGCCUUACACUGGGGGAUAACACUUAGAAAUAGGUGCUAAUACCGCAUAAGCGCACGAAGCCGCAUGGAUUUGUGUGAAAAACUCCGGUGGUGUAAGAUGGACCCGCGUCUGAUUAGCUUGUUGGCGGGGUAACGGCCCACCAAGGCGACGAUCAGUAGCCGGCCUGAGAGGGUGGACGGCCACAUUGGGACUGAGACACGGCCCAAACUCCUACGGGAGGCAGCAGUGGGGAAUAUUGCACAAUGGGCGAAAGCCUGAUGCAGCAACGCCGCGUGAAGGAAGACGGUUUUCGGAUUGUAAACUUCUAUCAAUAGGGAAGAAAGGAAUGACGGUACCUAAAUAAGAAGCCCCGGCUAACUACGUGCCAGCAGCCGCGGUAAUACGUAGGGGGCAAGCGUUAUCCGGAAUUACUGGGUGUAAAGGGAGAGUAGGCGGCAAGGUAAGCGAUAUGUGAAAGCCUUAGGCUUAACCUGAGGAUUGCAUAACGAACUAUCUAGCUAGAGUACAGGAGAGGAAAGCGGAAUUCUUAGUGUAGCGGUGAAAUGCGUAGAUAUUAGGAAGAACACCAGUGGCGAAGGCGGCUUUCUGGACUGAAACUGACGCUGAGGCUCGAAAGCGUGGGGAGCGAACAGGAUUAGAUACCCUGGUAGUCCACGCUGUAAACGAUGAGUGCUAGGUGUCGGGGAGGAAUCCUCGGUGCCGGAGCAAACGCAAUAAGCACUCCACCUGGGGAGUACGACCGCAAGGUUGAAACUCAAAGGAAUUGACGGGGGCCCGCACAAGCGGUGGAGCAUGUGGUUUAAUUCGAAGCAACGCGAAGAACCUUACCAAGGCUUGACAUCUCGUUGACGAAUGUAGAGGUACAUUUUUUCUUCGGAACAUCGAUGACAGGUGGUGCAUGGUUGUCGUCAGCUCGUGUCGUGAGAUGUUGGGUUAAGUCCCGCAACGAGCGCAACCCUUAUCUUCAGUAGCCAGCAUAUAAGGUGGGCACUCUGGAGAGACUGCCGUGGAUAACACGGAGGAAGGUGGGGAUGACGUCAAAUCAUCAUGCCCCUUAUGUCUUGGGCAACACACGUGCUACAAUGGCUGGAAACAAAGUGAAGCGAGACGGUGACGUUAAGCAAAGCACAAAAACCCAGUCCCAGUUCGGAUUGUAGUCUGCAACUCGACUACAUGAAGCUGGAAUCGCUAGUAAUCGCGAACCAGAAUGUCGCGGUGAAUACGUUCCCGGGCCUUGCACACACCGCCCGUCA
RNAcentral lists this ribosomal RNA (1370 nucleotides) under uncultured bacterium. RNAcentral describes it as "bacterial SSU rRNA". It matches the Rfam family "Bacterial small subunit ribosomal RNA", at positions 31 to 1399 of the family's 1533-position model. The record is from RNAcentral.